UCUGCUCAAUGAUUUUUUAAAUUGCUGUGGUAUUAUGACUAUACGAAGGUAUUGAAAUAAGACUUUAAUUGGGUGCUAAGAGAAUGGUUUAACAAAAAUAAGCUUUUUUUUUAUUUAUAUUAAAAGUUAAUUUAAAAAUGAAAAAGUUUUUAUAUAUUUUUAGGACAAGAAGACCCUAUGAAUUUUUUUAAAGACUUUUCUUUCUUGGUUCUUUAAAAAAAUUCAAGAAAAGUUUUUAAUUAAUUGGGGCGAUUUUUAAAUUUUAAAAAACUUUAAAAAUGUAUUAUUGGAUCCAAUAUUAUUGAUAUUUUAAAAAAAAUACUCUAGGGAUAACAGCGUUAUUACUUCGGAUAGUUCACAUAGAUGAAGUAGAUUGCGACCUCGAUGUUGGAUUAGGAUACCUUUAUUAAUGAAGAGGUUAUGAAAGGAGGUUUGCUCAACCUUUAAAUUCCUACA
This 456-nucleotide ribosomal RNA is filed under the name Ornithodoros waterbergensis. RNAcentral describes it as "partial 16S ribosomal RNA". The record is from RNAcentral. Lineage: Eukaryota; Metazoa; Arthropoda; Arachnida; Ixodida; Argasidae.